UCUCAAAGAUUAAGCCAUGCAUGUGUAAGUAUAAAUAAUUCUACUUUGAAACUGCGAAUGGCUCAUUAUAUCAGUUAUAGUUUAUUAGAAAAAAUGUACUACUUGGAUAACCGUAGUAAUUCUAGGGCUAAUACAUGAGUAAAUCCUCGACUUUGAAGAGGUGUGUUUAUUAGUAUGAAAACCAUAUGCUUCGGCAUAAUAGUGAGUAAUAAUAACCUUUCAUAUCGUAUGUUGAAAUAACGAUAGUUCUUUCAAGUUUCUGCCCUAUCAGCUUUCGAUGGUAGUGUAUUGGACUACCAUGGCAGUA
Molecule: ribosomal RNA, 307 nt
Filed under: Blastocystis sp. BO17-004
Lineage: Eukaryota; Bigyra; Opalinata; Blastocystidae
Also listed under: 3 other names
Description: SSU rRNA
Rfam family: Eukaryotic small subunit ribosomal RNA
Source: RNAcentral